Molecule: ribosomal RNA, 540 nt
Filed under: uncultured bacterium
Lineage: Bacteria
Description: bacterial SSU rRNA
Rfam family: Bacterial small subunit ribosomal RNA
Source: RNAcentral
UGAGGAAUAUUGGUCAAUGGGCGCGAGCCUGAACCAGCCAAGUAGCGUGCAGGAUGACGGCCCUAUGGGUUGUAAACUGCUUUUGUAUGGGGAUAAAGUCAAUCACGUGUGAUUGUUUGCAGGUACCAUACGAAUAAGGACCGGCUAAUUCCGUGCCAGCAGCCGCGGUAAUACGGAAGGUCCGGGCGUUAUCCGGAUUUAUUGGGUUUAAAGGGAGCGUAGGCCGGAGAUUAAGUGUGUUGUGAAAUGUAGACGCUCAACGUCUGACUUGCAGCGCAUACUGGUUUCCUUGAGUACGCACAACGUUGGCGGAAUUCGUCGUGUAGCGGUGAAAUGCUUAGAUAUGACGAAGAACUCCGAUUGCGAAGGCAGCUGACGGGAGCGCAACUGACGCUGAAGCUCGAAGGUGCGGGUAUCGAACAGGAUUAGAUACCCUGGUAGUCCGCACAGUAAACGAUGGAUGCCCGCUGUUGGUACCUGGUAUCAGCGGCUAAGCGAAAGCAUUAAGCAUCCCACCUGGGGAGUACGCCGGCAACGGUG